This 1293-nucleotide long non-coding RNA is filed under the name Solanum lycopersicum (tomato). RNAcentral describes it as "long non-coding RNA (SLYC_LNC000909)". Lineage: Eukaryota; Viridiplantae; Streptophyta; Magnoliopsida; Solanales; Solanaceae. The record is from RNAcentral.
AAAAUUUGAUCUCGGUAUGUAACUACUUUCUUCUUUCAUUAGGGUUUGUUAUUGAAUUUGAUUUUUCUUGUGUUUUGAAAAUCCCAAUAAUUUUGAUUGUUAUGAUAUCAAUUUGGGUUGGGUGAUUUUCCUAUUCUAUUUUGGAUUGUUAGGAAACUGCAUUCAGAUUUUUGUUGUGUAUUUCACAUGCAAUAAUUAAUGUGAUGUUUUGCCGUCAGAAUUAACAUUAUGGGUUUCUUUAUUUUAGUUGGGUAUCAGUUUUUUGGGCUCAUAUGAGUUUAUUUUGGAGUUUUUUCGUAGCUUCUAGGCAAUGAAAUUGAAAAUUUUCCCCAUUAGAUCCCGACGAUAUUGCGUUCAACUUAUGCAUUACCAUACUAUAUUUAUUUGGUUUUAGUAUCUCUUUUAUCUCUUUAUGAUGUUCCGACAAAACAAAAAUAGCAACAUAUGAAUUUUAGUCGCAAGGGAAUGACCUAACGAUUGAGAAAUAGUUGAGGGGAAAUUGGGAAUCGAGGUUGGAAUCCCAAUAGAGGAAUAACUCAAAAAGUGCAGAAAUUUCUUGCAUCUGCCUAAGUUUAAUGAAUGGAGUUAGUCAAUAUAUGUGUUGCUAGGUCCCUAUAGGAAUAAUUGAAAAAGUGCAAAAAUUGCUUGCAUCUGCCUUUUCAAUCUUUCUGUUCAGUAUCCCCUUUUAAACUCACUUCUUAUGUUUGAUUUUCUUCUCAUUCUUUCUCUUCUCGCAUUUUUUGGGCUUCUUUUGGUAAAGUCCUUCACAGAUUUGACUCUUUUCCUCGCUAAAGUUUCACUCUUUAUACUUUAUGUUAUGUAAUAUAUGAUUAUAGUAAUGUUUUGAUUAAGUUUCUGUAUUUAGAGUUUAACUUCUUGUUCUUGUGCUUUAUUGAUGUUUUGGUAAUUUUUCUUAUAUGGAUUCUUAUGUUAUGUUUUAUUUGGUUAUUCCAUGACCCCUUCUGGCUUCAGAAUCAAUAAUAGUGUUUUGUUUCUUGUGUGUAGUUGCAUUCUUUGAAAGGAUUUUGAUGAUCUACUAGACUAGAAAACAUCAUAUAAAAGUGUCUUGGGUUGAUCACUUUUGAACAACUAUGAAAUAUGUCCAGUGUCUGAUUUGGAUAGUACUAUUGUUUUGUAAUGGAUCUUGUCAAGUACAAUUGUUAUGUCACUAUUAUAACAUAACUGGUAGGGCUUUGUGUUAAAAAGUCAUUACUUUAUGCCUAGAUUUGAAUCCCAAUAAGAUGCCUCAAUAGUCAAAUAUCCUAUUUUAUGUUAAUAUAACACUCAUUUUCU